GUCUAUGGCCAUACCACCCUGAAUGUAUCUGAUCUUGUCUGAUCUCAGAAGUUAAGCAGGUUUGGACCUGGUUAGUACUUAGAUGGGAGUAGUACACAAGGAUGCUACUAAGU
Ribosomal RNA from Erinaceus europaeus (western European hedgehog), 113 nucleotides. The record is from Ensembl. NCBI's taxonomy places the organism in Eukaryota, Metazoa, Chordata, Mammalia, Eulipotyphla, Erinaceidae.